RNAcentral lists this ribosomal RNA (473 nucleotides) under uncultured Chloroflexota bacterium. Its description in RNAcentral is "bacterial SSU rRNA". It matches the Rfam family "Bacterial small subunit ribosomal RNA", at positions 897 to 1382 of the family's 1533-position model. The record is from RNAcentral. Lineage: Bacteria; Bacillati; Chloroflexota.
AAACUUAAAUGAAUUGACGGGGCCCGCACAAGCAGCGGAGCGUGUGGUUUAAUUCGAUGCAACACGAAGAACCUUACCAGGGCUUGACAUGUUAGAAGUAGGAACCCGAAAGGGGACGACCAGUAUCCAAUCUGGAGCUAACACAGGUGCUGCAUGGCUGUCGUCAGCUCGUGCCGUGAGGUGUAUGGUUAAGUCCCACAACGAGCGCAACCCUCGUCGCUAGUUAAUUUCCCUAGCGAGACCGCCUCGCAAAACGAGGAGGAAGCGGGGAUGGCGUCAAGUCAGCAUGGCCUUUAUACCCUGGGCGACACACACGCUACAAUGGGUGGUACAGUAGGUAGCGAAGGAGCGAUCCGGAGCAAAUCCUUAAAACCAUCCUCAGUACGGAUUGCAGGCUGAAACCCGCCUGCAUGAAGCCGGAGUUGCUAGUAACCGCAUAUCAGCAUGGUGCGGUGAAUACGUUCUCGGGCCUU